Molecule: ribosomal RNA, 446 nt
Filed under: uncultured bacterium
Lineage: Bacteria
Description: partial 16S ribosomal RNA
Rfam family: Bacterial small subunit ribosomal RNA
Source: RNAcentral
GUGAGGAAUAUUGCGCAAUGGACGAAAGUCUGACGCAGCCAUGCCGCGUGAAGGAUUGACGGCCCUAUGGGUUGUAAACUUCUUUUGUAUAGGAAUAAACCCUCGUUCGUGAACGAGGCUGAAGGUACUAUAAGAAUAAGCACCGGCUAACUCCGUGCCAGCAGCCGCGGUAAUACGGAGGGUGCAAGCGUUAUCCGGAUUUAUUGGGUUUAAAGGGUCCGUAGGCGGAUCGUUAAGUCAGUGGUGAAAUCCUACCGCUCAACGGUAGAAAUGCCAUUGAUACUGGCGAUCUUGAGUAUGUAUGAAGUUGGCGGAAUGUGUGGUGUAGCGGUGAAAUGCUUAGAUAUCACACAGAACACCGAUUGCGAAGGCAGCUGACUAAUACACAACUGACGCUGAGGGACGAAAGUGUGGGGAUCAAACAGGAUUAGAAACCCGGGUAGUCC